This 373-nucleotide ribosomal RNA is filed under the name uncultured bacterium. RNAcentral's name for it is "bacterial SSU rRNA". It matches the Rfam family "Bacterial small subunit ribosomal RNA", at positions 524 to 898 of the family's 1533-position model. The record is from RNAcentral.
UACGUAGGGGGCUAGCGUUAUCCGGAUUUACUGGGCGUAAAGGGUGCGUAGGCGGUCUUUUAAGUCAGGAGUAAAAGGCUACGGCUCAACCGUAGUAAGCUCUUGAAACUGGAGGACUUGAGUGCAGGAGAGGAGAGUGGAAUUCCUAGUGUAGCGGUGAAAUGCGUAGAUAUUAGGAGGAACACCAGUAGCGAAGGCGGCUCUCUGGACUGUAACUGACGCUGAGGCACGAAAGCGUGGGGAGCAAACAGGAUUAGAUACCCUGGUAGUCCACGCCGUAAACGAUGAGUACUAGGUGUCGGGGGUUACCCCCCUCGGUGCCGCAGCUAACGCAUUAAGUACUCCGCCUGGGGAGUACGCUCGCAAGAGUGAA